ACCGAUGGAUGAGCCCGCACCUGAUUAGUUAGUUGGUGAGGUAAUAGCUCACCAAGACAAUGAUCAGUAGCUGAUUUGAGAGGAUGAUCAGCCACAUUGGGACUGAGACACGGCCCAAACUCCUACGGGAGGCAGCAGUGGGGAAUCUUGCACAAUGGGGGAAACCCUGAUGCAGCGAUGCCGCGUGAGUGAAGAAGGCCUUUGGGUUGUAAAGCUCUUUCGUCGGGGAAGAAAAUGACUGUACCCGAAUAAGAAGGUCCGGCUAACUUCGUGCCAGCAGCCGCGGUAAUACGAAGGGACCUAGCGUAGUUCGGAAUUACUGGGCUUAAAGAGUUCGUAGGUGGUUAAAAUAGUUAGGUGGUGAAAUCCCAGAGCUUAACUCUGGAACUGCCAUCAAAACUUUUUAGCUAGAGUAUGAUAGAGGAAAGUAGAAUUUCUAGUGUAGAGGUGA
This 451-nucleotide ribosomal RNA is filed under the name uncultured Alphaproteobacteria bacterium. RNAcentral's name for it is "bacterial SSU rRNA". It matches the Rfam family "Bacterial small subunit ribosomal RNA", at positions 217 to 684 of the family's 1533-position model. The record is from RNAcentral. Lineage: Bacteria; Pseudomonadati; Pseudomonadota; Alphaproteobacteria.